AUAGUUAAUAUGGAUAGUGUGAGUAUAAUAUAAAUUAAAAGGUUUAGAUAUAUGAUUGAUGGGUUGAAGCAUAUUACUGCUGUUAUUCAUCCUAUAUGGGCGAUUGGGGAGUAAGCUAAGAUUUUUCGUAAUUGUGUUUGGUUUAAACCUCCUCAUCCUCCUAGUAGGAUGGAUAGAAGGGAGAAUGUAAUGAUUAUUGUUUGGUUUGCUGAGGAAUGGAUUUGGAAUAUAAUGGAUAGAGGGGCAAUUUUUUGUCAUGUAAGUAGGAUUAUUCCUGAUCACAGACUGAUUCCUUGGGUUACUUCAGGUACUCAUAGGUGGAAUGGAGCUAAUCCUAGUUUUAUUAUUAAUGAUAAUAUAAGGAUUGAUGAGGUUAUUUGGUUUUGUGCGUGAAUAAUCAUUCAUUGACCUGAAAGAGCUAUGGAGUAAAUGGUUGCUAUUAUGAAUAUCAUGGAUGCUGUUGCUUGGACUAAGAAGUACUUGGUUGCGGCUUCUGUGGAUCGUGGGCUUGUUUUGUGCGUGAGGAUUGGGAUUAUGGCGAAUAUGCUUAUUUCUAGUCCUGCUCAUAUUAGUAAUCAAUGGGAACUGGUAAGUGUAAUUAGUGUCCCUGAAAUUAGGGUGAGGUAGAUGACACUGUUGGAGAUGAGGUUAAUUAGUACGGGAAGGCGUGGACCAACAUUUUCGGGGUAUGGGCCCGAUAGCUUAUUUAGCUGACCUUACUGUUAGGAUGUGGUGUAUUGGUUGCACGAGGAGUUUUGGUCUCUUUGGGUUAGGUUCAAGUCCUAUUAUUCUAGAAAUAGAAGGGUUCAAACCUUCAUGGUUUACUCCAUCAAAGUAACUCUUUUUUCAGACAUAUUUCUAGGUUGUUUGUGGGGGUGUUCCGAAUAGUCCGAUGGGAAAAGAAAUGUGUCAUAUACAUAUGGCUAGUGAUAUUGGUAGGAAAUUUUUUCAUAAUAAGUGUAUGAGUUGAUCAUACCGGAAUCGGGGGUAUGAGGGUUUUAAUUGUGAAGUAUAUUGUAAAAUUUUCUGGGUUGGUGGAUAUUGGGGAUGUGUUGAUAAAGAUAAUGGUGGUCAGGGCAUUUAUUAUAAUGAUAUUAAUGUAUUCUGCUAUGAAGAAUAGUGCGAAGGGUCCUGCUGCGUAUUCUACGUUGAAUCCAGAGACUAAUUCUGAUUCUCCUUCGGCUAGGUCGAAUGGGGCUCGGUUAGUUUCUGCUAGGGUUGAGAUAAAUCAUAUUAUGGCUAGGGGUUUUUUUGUUUGGUU
This 1261-nucleotide long non-coding RNA is filed under the name Heterocephalus glaber (naked mole-rat). RNAcentral's name for it is "lncRNA (ENSHGLG00100040487.1)". The stretch from base 724 to 794 matches the Rfam family "tRNA". Lineage: Eukaryota; Metazoa; Chordata; Mammalia; Rodentia; Bathyergidae. The record is from RNAcentral.